CAGAUAUUGUGAUUGCUGAUGCUGGUGGGAACUUCUGAAUCUAUGGUAUUCAUCCAUUGCAGCAUUCUCCACUUCGCGUUUCUGGAGACUUUCCAGGUUUCACAGCCAAACUACAAUAAAGUCAGCACAACAGCUCUGAAGACUUUCAGUUUGGUAAUCGGGCUAAUACUUCUUUCCCAACCUUUUCUUCUGGGCUUCCCAAACACUGAACGAUUCAUGCAUCAACCUUUUCAUCUAUGUGUACAUCCCUUUAUAGUGUACUGCCGAGAGACAUGAAGCCUGGUGGCUAUCAAGGGAGC
This 299-nucleotide long non-coding RNA is filed under the name Sarcophilus harrisii (Tasmanian devil). Its description in RNAcentral is "lncRNA (ENSSHAG00000029859.1)". Lineage: Eukaryota; Metazoa; Chordata; Mammalia; Dasyuromorphia; Dasyuridae. The record is from RNAcentral.